This 448-nucleotide ribosomal RNA is filed under the name uncultured bacterium. RNAcentral describes it as "bacterial SSU rRNA". It matches the Rfam family "Bacterial small subunit ribosomal RNA", at positions 1 to 507 of the family's 1533-position model. The record is from RNAcentral.
GACUCCGUGGCUACAGAACGAACGCUGGCGGCAUGCCUAACACAUGCAAGUCGAACGAAGCCUUCGGGCUUAGUGGCGCACGGGUGCGUAACGCGUGGGAAUCUGCCUUGGGUUCGGAAUAACAGUUAGAAAUGACUGCUAAUACCGAAUGAUGUCUUCGGACCAAAGAUUUAUCGCCCAAGGAUGAGCCCGCGUCGGAUUAGCUAGUUGGUGAGGUAAAGGCUCACCAAGGCGACGAUCCGUAGCUGGUCUGAGAGGAUGAUCAGCCACACUGGGACUGAGACACGGCCCAGACUCCUACGGGAGGCAGCAGUGGGGAAUAUUGGACAAUGGGCGAAAGCCUGAUCCAGCAAUGCCGCGUGAGUGAUGAAGGCCUUAGGGUUGUAAAGCUCUUUUACCCGGGAUGAUAAUGACAGUACCGGGAGAAUAAGCCCCGGCUAACUCCGUG